Molecule: long non-coding RNA, 1109 nt
Organism: Bos taurus (domestic cattle)
Lineage: Eukaryota; Metazoa; Chordata; Mammalia; Artiodactyla; Bovidae
Source: Ensembl
GUUUCAUCUAGUGAAAGAAAAUGGAAAAGGAAGGAAAAAAAAGAAAGCAAGACCCAUUGAGCUGUUGAAUAGGCCAAAAAAUGAAGUGUAUUACAAAGCACUUUCAUUGUCUUCAAAGGACAACCUUUGUCCUCUGCCGGUUCUGUUAUUGACCAGCUGCUUAGUUAACUGUGGUAUCCAUCUGCCAGCCCCGAAGUCUUCGUUGGGAAAGAGGGAAGGUGCUGACCCUUCCCAGGAAGCGAUGGUGACAGGAGCUUCAAUUUCCUGAUCUGAAUGGUGGAGGCAGUGCCUUCUGGGUUUUGCUGGAUUAAUUGUGCAGGCAAAGUGAGUAAGUGCAGACAGGACCCUGGGGACCUGCAAGCUGAAUAUUCCACGCCUUUUUCUUUACUGCCUUAAGCAAGAGGAGAGAAUUAACGAAGAGUAAGAAUCCAUUUGCCCGCUGUAGCAUGUUCAGCGGGCAGCACCCCCAACAUGGACCUGGUGCCUGUAAACCGCUGCAGUGGACAGAACCGCAGAGAUCUGAGAAAAAUGAAGGGCUGCUGAGUGGGUCCAGCGCUUCCUUUAAGCACUCUGAAAGCAUCUGCGUGCAGAGUCGAAGCUGAAUUUUGCUAAAGGCAAAUCUGGUGUUUGUUCUGGGCUUGGUGCUCUAUCACAAGUAUGUUUAAGGAUCUUGUGUGUAAGUUGAACAUCCUGAACUUUAUAUGUGUGUGUGUGUGUGUGUGUGUGCACUCAGUCAUGUCCAACUCUUUGCCACCCCAUGGUCUGCAGCCCACCAGACUCCUCUGUCCAUGAGAUUCUCCAGGCAAGAAUACUGGAGUGGGUUGCCAUUCCCUACUCUAGGGGAUCUUCCCCACCCAGGGAUCAAACCUGUAUCUCCUGUGUCUCCUGCACUGAUGGACUUUACGGCCCUAAACACACACAGAGGCAACAAAAUCAGAAGCCUUUGAGGUCAGAACUGGUUUUAAACCCCAUCUCUGCCGCUUCCUGUGGGACUCCAGGGAAAUUGUUUGACCCAUUUUUUUCAUAUGUAAAAGUACUCCAGGAGGUGAAUUAUAUCAUGUGGAUAAAACAAGAUGAAUCAAACUGUCUGAUAUUCAACAAUGUGAAGC